GGGCGGAGGAUCCCGGCGGCAGGCUUAGGGCCCAGGGUGUCAGCCCCUCGGUGCUUCCUCCUUAGGCGUGAUCGUUUGUCGUUUCAACAGCUCUUUGGCCCGGCUAGACUACAGUCUCAUCCCUGCGCAUUUCCAUCAGUCACUUUUCCCCUUUUUAUUUGUACUGCGGACACGUCGCAAAACCCCCCUCAACCUCAUUGGUAAAAGUGGUACCUCUCUUCCUGAAAGUGCUCUAUAAGCAUAGACAUGGGUUAUUGCUAUUUCUCUUCAAUAGAGCCGUUCAGUUUGUCUGUUUGGUUUUCAACAGUUUCUCCGUGUAACUGUGGCUGUCCCCGAACAAGCUCUGUAGACCGGGUUAGCCUAGAACGCAGAGAUUCGCCUGCCUCUGCCUCCCAAGUAUUGGGAUUAAAGAGCGCUGCUGGGAGAAAGAAGUGAGAUGACCCAUGUGAUGGAUGUCUCCAGCAAUCAGUCCUAAGGGAGAUCAAUGUUAACAACAUUGUACUCAUGAAUAUUAUUAACAGUGUGACCAAGAAGACAAAAAAAAAAAAAUUUAAUGAGGACACCUGGGAGCACCCAGCAAGCCUACCUCCCAGCAGGACGCCUAGUAAGGGGAUGACCGUGAAGGAUCGAUCAUGCUUGUGCCCUUUGUCCUCAUUCCAAAGUCUGGACUCCAGCCAGACUUGAAACUCCGGACUCUAAGGAUCAAAGCUGCUCUAUUAGAGCCAUGUUUGAUUCCUUCAGCCCAGGUCAACUUCCUGAGACCAACAGCUUUCAAACAAUGAGCCUGAGGGCUGGAAAAUCUCAGAGCGAUGAAUAGGAGCUUCAGCCCUAUUACCACCUACUGUCCCUGCAGGACGAUGGAGCCUCCUUCAGCCUGCUUUCUCCAUUUGUUUUUCCCACCGAGUGUUGCCUUAUCAAGUACUGAACAUUCAGUGAGGGCCUGAUUUAGAAGGAGCGGGCGAAGCAAGUUGUCUGAGACGUGCAAGAAGUGGCUGCCAUUCAGCCCCCGGGACUCCCUGUAAAGACACCACAUGUCGUUGCCUGUGGAACCCUCUCUCACACUCCUCACCAAAUGUUCAGCUUUGCGCUGGCUGGGGAGAAAACGUCUGCCACCGAGUGGGAGGAAGGGAAUGAGCCAGGCUGGUGCUCAACGUCUCUGAGCUUCGAAGUGAAGGAGCUGUGCUUCCCUAGGAGAUGAAGCUCAUGAUCCAGCCCUCAAAAUGUGUUGUCAUUCAAGAUGACCGACGUUGAGCUGGUACUACAAGAAGUGUACGAAGGAAAGCUUCCUACAGACUCCCCUGGCCUCAGACCCUGGCUUUAGUGAGCCGCAGUAGUGCAUGCCUUUAAUCCUAGCAUUCAGGAGGCAGAGGCAGGUAGGUCUGUGACCUGCCGAUCUACAUAGGGAGUUCCAGGCCAUCCAAGACUUCAUACAGCAACCUUGUCUCAAAAAUACUAAAUCAGGGCUGGAGAGAUGGCUCAGAGGUUGAGAGCACUGGCUGCUCUUUCAGAAGUCCUGAGUUCAAGUCUCAGUGACAACCAUCUAUGGUGGGCUCUAGUGCCCUCUUCUGGCUUGCAGACAUACAUGCAAGCAGAACACUGUAUACAUAAUAAAUAAAUAAAUCUUUUAAAAAAAUACCAAUCAGGGGCU
Molecule: long non-coding RNA, 1648 nt
Organism: Peromyscus californicus insignis
Lineage: Eukaryota; Metazoa; Chordata; Mammalia; Rodentia; Cricetidae
Exons: 3
Source: RefSeq, a predicted model, not a curated record